ACAUUCUUCCUUUCGAAGACCAACCGGAGCUCCUCAAAAGACCACCAAUUCAAUAUACUUUUAUUGAGGAUGAAGAUUGGACAAUAUUUGUCAAAGAUAGAUUGUCUGACAACUUUAAGAUGGUUGCAAGUGGAUCAACUGAAACUAUUGAUCGAAGCAUAUUGUGGAA
This is a long non-coding RNA of Vitis riparia (riverbank grape), 169 nucleotides long. RefSeq lists it as uncharacterized. The transcript is spliced from 2 exons. Lineage: Eukaryota; Viridiplantae; Streptophyta; Magnoliopsida; Vitales; Vitaceae. The record is from RefSeq and is a predicted model, not a curated record.